Molecule: ribosomal RNA, 575 nt
Filed under: Ceranisus pacuvius
Lineage: Eukaryota; Metazoa; Arthropoda; Insecta; Hymenoptera; Eulophidae
Description: eukaryotic LSU rRNA
Rfam family: Eukaryotic large subunit ribosomal RNA
Source: RNAcentral
UCAAGAGUACGUGAAACCGUUCAGGGGUAAACCUGAGAAACCCAAAAGAUCGAAUGGGGAGAUUCACCGUCAGCGCGGCUGGCUUCCGUGCGGCUCGCGAUGGCCGGGACCUGGUCUCGCGUCACGCGGCGCUGCGGUAUGUCCGGCUGCGUCGGCGUGCACUUCUCCCCUAGUAGGACGUCGCGACCCGUUGGGUGUCGCCGAUGGUCGUUUGGUCGCCUGUCUCGUCGCGUUCGCGCGCACGGGGCAGACCGAAGUCGAGUGUCCGGCUGCCCGGCGGUAUAGAACGCGAACGGUAAUGAGCCGCAUAAGUGCGUUAGGCGCGUCGGCAGGCUCGUCUCGCCCGGAUACGGACCUAGCGCCGUUGCCGGGUGCUUGGCGGGCCUUAGUCGACGCUGUCCUCGGACUGGCUCUAAAUUCGAAAGGAUUACCGGUCGGCGACGCUACUGCUUUGGGUACUUUCAGGACCCGUCUUGAAACACGGACCAAGGAGUCUAACAUGUGCGCGAGUCAUUGGGACUUGAAGCCUAAAGGCGCAAUGAAAGUGAAGGUCGGCCCAGCCGACCGAGGGAGGA